This 21-nucleotide unclassified non-coding RNA is filed under the name Chlamydomonas reinhardtii. RNAcentral's name for it is "small RNA Cre_2657". Lineage: Eukaryota; Viridiplantae; Chlorophyta; Chlorophyceae; Chlamydomonadales; Chlamydomonadaceae. The record is from RNAcentral.
UCGAUGGGUCAGGUGCCAGGG